UGUUUGAUUGAAGAGUAAAAUGAGCUAUUGAUUGAUGUAAAGGCGAAAUAAUAUUCAAUCGCCUGUAAAAAAAAAAUUAGUACGAAAAAAAUGGAAAUUUGUUUUAGCAAAUUAUGUGUCACAUUAUUAAUAUCAUUUUGAUAAACAGAUGUUGAUAGUUUCAACAAAUUUUAAACGAUGGCUGAAACCAUAUUACCACAACUGUGCCAUUAAGCAAUAAAGAUGCAAAUAAAUCAGAUCAAUUGUACUGGAUAAUGUUGCUUGUCUUCUCAAUGUUCAAUUGAUUGGAAACCUUUUCAAAUAAAUAAAAAUUACUGGAGUUAACAAAUAUAUUGUUCACAAAUAAUAAAAACCAAAAAACCUAGCGACGCUUCAACAAAUUGGUUUAUGAGGUGAAGAUUACCAUGAAACAGAAGAAUAAUUGAAAUUAAUACCAUCAAUAAAAGAUGGUAGAAAGUGGAAAAAUUGUCAUUGAGUCAAAGCCAUAAAAUUAUGAAAUAUGACUGUCAAGGGAUAUAAUUCAACAGUAUGUAUAUAUUAUGAGCAACAUACAAAACCAAGUCUGGUCGUUUUAUUUUCUUCGUCAUUACCGAGGGUCAGGACAUUGACAAUUGCGCAAAUGUUUGUAGUCUUGCGGCCAGAAGAGUAUUGAAAGUUUACCAAGCUCAUAGAAUGCUCCUGAAAAAUACAGUAAAUCAUAACUAGUGAAUUUAUGGGUCAGUUAUUGGGAUAGAAGCUCAGAACUGACUCUACUGGUAAGCCACACACUUUCUCCUUACUAACCAUUUUUCUUUUGGCUCCUCCUCUCUCUUUCUCUCUCUCUCUCUCUCUUUUUUACCUUAUUUUCAGAGUGUCAUAAAUGUGCAUGGCCAAAGUCAAUUCACUUUCUCGAAUGCCCUGGUAUGCUGUGAAAAAAAAACCCUUUGUUGAAGGGAAAUAAAAUGAAGUUUAGUUUCUAGAAGUCUAAAACCACUGGUGCUAGAGUGUUAAAAAAGAGUUGAA
Molecule: long non-coding RNA, 1002 nt
Organism: Chelonus insularis
Lineage: Eukaryota; Metazoa; Arthropoda; Insecta; Hymenoptera; Braconidae
Exons: 4
Source: RefSeq, a predicted model, not a curated record